This 453-nucleotide ribosomal RNA is filed under the name uncultured Thiobacillus sp. Its description in RNAcentral is "bacterial SSU rRNA". It matches the Rfam family "Bacterial small subunit ribosomal RNA", at positions 923 to 1382 of the family's 1533-position model. Lineage: Bacteria; Pseudomonadati; Pseudomonadota; Betaproteobacteria; Nitrosomonadales; Thiobacillaceae. The record is from RNAcentral.
GCACAAGCGGUGGAUGAUGUGGAUUAAUUCGAUGCAACGCGAAGAACCUUACUACCCUUGACAUGUCCGGAACUUGCCAGAGAUGGCUUGGUGCCGAAAGGGAAUCGGAACACAGGUGCUGCAUGGCUGUCGUCAGCUCGUGUCGUGAGAUGUUGGGUUAAGUCCCGCAACGAGCGCAACCCUUAUCAUUAGUUGCUACGCAAGGGCACUCUAAUGAGACUGCCGGUGACAAACCGGAGGAAGGUGGGGAUGACGUCAAGUCCUCAUGGCCCUUAUGGGUAGGGCUUCACACGUCAUACAAUGGUCGGUACAGAGGGUUGCCAAGCCGCGAGGCGGAGCCAAUCCCACAAAGCCGAUCGUAGUCCGGAUUGUUCUCUGCAACUCGAGAGCAUGAAGUCGGAAUCGCUAGUAAUCGCAGGUCAGCAUACUGCGGUGAAUACGUUCCCGGGUCUU